CAUGGACCUCUUUCCCUUCUUGUGAAAAUAAUUGACAUUAUUGAUAUUUCUUAGGUUUGAAUUCCUGCUCUGAAAAGGAGGAGGAGGAGGAGGAGGAGGAAGAAACUUCGCCUGAUGAAGGGAGAAGAGGAGGUGGAGGAAAACUCAGCUGCAGACAUGAAGGUUUGAAUUCCUGCUCUGAAAAGGAGGAGGAGGAGGAGGAGGAAGAAACUUCGCCUGAUGAAGGGAGAAGAGGAGGUGGAGGAAAACUCAGCUGCAGACAUGAAGGUUUGAAUUCCUGCUCUGAAAAGGAGGAGGAGGAGGAGGAGGAAGAAACUUCGCCUGAUGAAGGGAGAAGAGGAGGUGGAGGAAAACUCAGCUGCAGACAUGAAGGUAAAGGGGGGAAAAUAGAAAUAU
This is a long non-coding RNA of Podarcis raffonei (Aeolian wall lizard), 396 nucleotides long. RefSeq lists it as uncharacterized. Lineage: Eukaryota; Metazoa; Chordata; Lepidosauria; Squamata; Lacertidae. The record is from RefSeq and is a predicted model, not a curated record. The transcript is spliced from 3 exons.